This 503-nucleotide ribosomal RNA is filed under the name uncultured bacterium. RNAcentral describes it as "partial 16S ribosomal RNA". It matches the Rfam family "Bacterial small subunit ribosomal RNA", at positions 30 to 523 of the family's 1533-position model. The record is from RNAcentral.
AUUGAACGCUGGCGGCAGGCUUAACACAUGCAAGUCGAGCGGGGUGAUGGUGCUUGCACUAUCACUUAGCGACGGACGGGUGAGUAAUGCUUAGGAAUCUGCCUAUUAGUGGGGGACAACAUCUCGAAAGGGAUGCUAAUACCGCAUACGUCCUACGGGAGAAAGCAGGGGAUCACUUGUGACCUUGCGCUAAUAGAUGAGCCUAAGUCGGAUUAGCUAGUUGGUGGGGUAAAGGCCUACCAAGGCGACGAUCUGUAGCGGGUCUGAGAGGAUGAUCCGCCACACUGGGACUGAGACACGGCCCAGACUCCGACGGGAGGUAGCAGUGGGGAAUAUUGGACAAUGGGGGGAACCCUGAUCCAGCCAUGCCGCGUGUGUGAAGAAGGCCUUAUGGUUGUAAAGCACUUUAAGCGAGGAGGAGGCUCUUUUGGUUAAUACCCAAGAUGAGUGGACGUUACUCGCAGAAUAAGCACCGGCUAACUCUGUGCCAGCCGCCGCGGUAA